This 90-nucleotide non-coding RNA is filed under the name Pseudomonas fluorescens HK44. Lineage: Bacteria; Pseudomonadati; Pseudomonadota; Gammaproteobacteria; Pseudomonadales; Pseudomonadaceae. The record is from RNAcentral.
UGUUAUGGCGGCUGUGUGCGGGAGACCUUCGGGUCUGCCGGGUUUGCCGUUUUGCCUCGGUUUUCCAGCCCGCUCACAGCUGCCACCCUU